This 76-nucleotide transfer RNA is filed under the name Microscillaceae bacterium. RNAcentral describes it as "tRNA-Lys". It matches the Rfam family "tRNA". Rfam says of the family: Transfer RNA (tRNA) molecules are approximately 80 nucleotides in length. Their secondary structure includes four short double-helical elements and three loops (D, anti-codon, and T loops). Further hydrogen bonds mediate the characteristic L-shaped molecular structure. tRNAs have two regions of fundamental functional importance: the anti-codon, which is responsible for specific mRNA codon recognition, and the 3' end, to which the tRNAs corresponding amino acid is attached (by aminoacyl-tRNA synthetases). tRNAs cope with the degeneracy of the genetic code in two manners: having more than one tRNA (with a specific anti-codon) for a particular amino acid; and 'wobble' base-pairing, i.e. permitting non-standard base-pairing at the 3rd anti-codon position. The record is from RNAcentral. Lineage: Bacteria; Pseudomonadati; Bacteroidota; Cytophagia; Cytophagales; Microscillaceae.
UCGUUCGUAGCUCAAUUGGUAGAGUUCCCGGCUUUUAACCGGAAGGUUGUGGGUUCGAGUCCCACCGGGCGAACCA